UACUAGAGUAGCACUCGCAUAUCAAUAAGCGGAGGAAAAGAAACUAACAAGGAUUCCCCUAGUAACGGCGAGUGAAGCGGGAAGAGCUCAAAUUUGAAAUCUUAAAGGGUUUCCCUUUACGAAUUGUAGUUUAAAGAAGUGUUUUCUGUUGAGGUUUUGGUAAAAGUUCUUUGGAAUAGGACAUCAUAGAGGGUGAGAAUCCCGUAUUUGACCUUUACUUUCAACUUUGUGAUACACUUUCAAAGAGUCGGAUUGCUUGGGAAUGCAGUCCAAAAUGGGUGGUAAAUUUCAUCUAAAGCUAAAUAUUGGCGAGAGACCGAUAGCGAACAAGUACCGUGAGGGAAAGAUGAAAAGAACUUUGAAAAGAGAGUUAAACAGUACGUGAAAUUGUCAAAAGGGAAGCGUUUGACACCAGUGUUGUUUUUCUGAAAAUCAAUUAAAGAACUGUUUAUGCUAAGCUGUUUAGACUUUAUCAGCUAAUCUGUUUAGUUUUGAGCUUUUCUUUAAUGCACUUUUCAGUUAACAAGUCAACAUCAAUUUCUUUUGCUGUAAAAAAGCUUGAGGAAGGUGGCUUGAGAUUCGUCUUAAGUGUUUAUAGCCUCUUGCCUAUGCAGUCGGAGAGAUUGAGGUCUGCAGCGUAGAUCCUUCGGGGCUAAAUGCAUUUGUGCUAAGUUAUAGCAUUUUAUAGACAACUUGUUGACUAUGAUUUGUCUUGUAGCUUACUCGCUUAUGUUAUUUUACCUACGCUUAGGAUGUUGAGCGCAUGUCUCUCUCU
This 775-nucleotide ribosomal RNA is filed under the name uncultured Neocallimastigales. RNAcentral's name for it is "partial large subunit ribosomal RNA". It matches the Rfam family "Eukaryotic large subunit ribosomal RNA", at positions 20 to 616 of the family's 3401-position model. Lineage: Eukaryota; Fungi; Neocallimastigomycota; Neocallimastigomycetes; Neocallimastigales. The record is from RNAcentral.